GAACUGUCCUUGUCAGUGUGCCUGUCAUCACUAUCAGCAUCGUCACUAACAGAAACCCCAUCAUUCUCUUUAAAGCCCAGGACCCACACUCUUCGGGCCUUGAAAAAGGCCUGGGUAUUUUCGUACCAGGUAUGUGAUAAAGAGUAGUAGAAGAAACAUUCCAUUGACUUCGGAGUCAGACUGAGUUGGAUUUAAAUUCUACUCCUGCUGCUUACAAGCCUGUGAGUUUGGAUGAAUCAAUUAACCUCAUCGAACCUCAGUUUCAGCUUCUAUAAAAGGUACCAUUAUUCUCUUUUUACUGGACAAAGAAAUUGGCCCAGAGAGAUUAAGCCACUUACCCCAGGUAACACAGCUAAGUGACAUUCAAACUCAGGUAGUGUGUUUCCA
This is a non-coding RNA of Saimiri boliviensis boliviensis (Bolivian squirrel monkey), 387 nucleotides long. NCBI's taxonomy places the organism in Eukaryota, Metazoa, Chordata, Mammalia, Primates, Cebidae. The record is from RefSeq and is a predicted model, not a curated record.